AACGCACAUUGCGCCCUCUGGUAUUCCGGGGGGCAUGCCUGUUCGAGCGUCAUUACAACUUUCAAGCAUUGCUUGGUAUUAGGUGCUGCCCUAGCUGUCUUUUUAGUUGAGCACACCUGGAAUUUAGCGGCAGAACGACCGGUGAUCAAGCGUAGUAAGAAACAUUUUUGCUUCCCGCUGAGAUUUCACCUGGGCGUCCUCGCCGGACAACCCCCUAAAUUUUUUCAAUGGUUGACCUCGGAUCAGGUAGGGAUACCCGCUGAACUUAA
RNAcentral lists this unclassified non-coding RNA (269 nucleotides) under uncultured fungus. RNAcentral's name for it is "partial contains 5.8S ribosomal RNA, internal transcribed spacer 2, and large subunit ribosomal RNA". The stretch from base 1 to 52 matches the Rfam family "5.8S ribosomal RNA", at positions 103 to 154 of the family's 154-position model. Lineage: Eukaryota; Fungi. The record is from RNAcentral.